AAUGUAGGACUCAAUCCCAGGACCCCAGAAUCAUGACCUGAGCUGAAGGCAGAUGGUCAACCAACAGAGGUACCCAGGCAUUCCAGGAAACAUUCCUAAAGAUGCCAGGGACGGAAACCCAAAAUGGCAGCAACUGAGCUCCAGGACUACACAGCAGGACACAGACAAGAAUGAGGCCACCCAGAAUGAGGAGAAUACGUUCUCCAUUAUUUCCUGCAGCUUGAAAACAAAACCUUAACUUUCCUGCAGCUUGAAAACAAAACCUUAACUUCAGGAGGAAAGCUCCUAAGAUUCGAAGUUCAGAGAAGUUCUCAAAUUGGGCAAGAAAAACCUCAAAAAAGGAUUAUUUUUCUUCUUUGAUUCUUGAGGGAUGGCUCUAAUUUCACCAACUGCAUUCUUUCCUAAUUGAAUUCAGAGCAGCAUUCAAUUUUAAAAUGACAGUAAGAGCAACAAGUUCUUCCGGAAGAUUUCAAGAAUAAUGCCCUGGCAAGAAGAGCGUGAGGAGUGGGUGCUGAGACCAGGGUGGUGUGCAGAGCCCUGAGGUAGAAGAUUUCUCCUGACGCAGCUUCAUGGAUCAGGGCCAGUCACUGACAUUUUAUGUCAGGGUUUUAUCCUCUUAAAAAAUAAAUAUAAUGA
Mustela erminea (ermine) is the source of this 636-nucleotide long non-coding RNA. RefSeq lists it as uncharacterized. Lineage: Eukaryota; Metazoa; Chordata; Mammalia; Carnivora; Mustelidae. The transcript has 3 exons. The record is from RefSeq and is a predicted model, not a curated record.